GUCACUUAUUACUUACUCCAUUAUCCCUUCUCUCUCUUUAAAGUUUAAUUCUUCUCUUAAAAAACAAACUUUAAUGUUAAUACAAAUUACGAUUUGAUUCUUAUUUUGCGCUCCUCUACAAAAUAAGAGUACAUUGGUGAUUUUUCGUUGAAAAGUUUUGUCGGUUCUUAAAUUGUUCUUGAGUAAGAGUAGAGACUGGGUGUCAGACCAAGGCAUUUAAGACUGUUGAGAUAUCAUGCAUCAUCCAGUACAAUUGUACAAAUGUACUAUUACUUGAUUGGUGCUCUACUUCAUAAAGCUAGCUUUCUCUCGAUAGUCGAAUCGCACAAUUGUAACUCUCGUGAAAACGAGUAGUCCACCAUGAUAUUAGUGUGAAGAAAACUACAUUUAUCUUUCGCCAUACCAAUUCAACCUGCUGCGUGCAUCAUGCAUGGGAUCAUUCUAAAUAUAUAGCCAUAAGCUUAGCUACAUUUACCACCAGGUACAAAGCUCUAAUUAUAUUAGGAAUCGACUCUUGGAGCGAGAUUUGCAAGUUGGAAGGUCAUAAGCUACUCAAAGGUCAUUUUUGUGCUUACCAGGUCUCAUACCCGGGUGGGUUUCCACAAACCCGGCCGGGUGAGCUUCUCAUACCCGGGUGGGUUUCCACAUACCCGGCCAGGCUUCAAUUGAAGAUUAAAAUGCUCUGUUGCGUACCCGGGCGGGUUUCCACAUACCCGGCCGGGUUUACUCCUGAACUUAGAAACUUUUUGAUCUUUAAGAUUUAGUUAUGCCUCGUACCCGCCCGGGUUUCCACAUACCCGGCCGGGUCAAGCAGUUAUUUUUUUUUAGUAACUUCCGUAUCCUCCGAUCUCUUUGGAGGAGGAUAUAAAUAGCUUUUGAGGAGAAUUUGCAGUUAGUUAAGUUUUUUUCUCUGUUUUGAGGGUUUGGUAGUG
Molecule: long non-coding RNA, 932 nt
Organism: Amaranthus tricolor (Joseph's coat)
Lineage: Eukaryota; Viridiplantae; Streptophyta; Magnoliopsida; Caryophyllales; Amaranthaceae
Exons: 3
Source: RefSeq, a predicted model, not a curated record